Dromaius novaehollandiae (emu) is the source of this 965-nucleotide long non-coding RNA. RefSeq lists it as uncharacterized. The transcript has 4 exons. The record is from RefSeq and is a predicted model, not a curated record. NCBI's taxonomy places the organism in Eukaryota, Metazoa, Chordata, Aves, Casuariiformes, Dromaiidae.
UGUGUUUCACUUAUUCCAUCUGGAAAUGAAGCAAGUGUGAUCUACAGAAAGACUCCUUCUGCAGAUCUGACUGAUCUCAGGCUGCAUUAAUAUUUAAAAAAAAUGGAAACAGACAAGGAAAAAGCCUGCUGCCCUAAUUAAUUGAGAUUAGUUUUCUGAGGUUUUGGAGAGUUAAAUCAACUCACCAAGUGAUCUGGAGCUAGUACAAAGGAAGUGGUGAGAAGGGACAGCUAGGAGCAGCAAGAGAUUCCUCUGCAUGCAUCGGAAACCUGAGUGCUCAGUGAUUUAGACCUUAUUUGACAAACGGGUCAAAGAAGAUUGCCGCAAGGCCUGAAGUAAAAAGAGAUGCUCUACUACCCAUAGUCAGUCAGUCUGGACAGCUAGCUGUUACCUAUGGACAUCGUCACAGAGCAGAGAGCUUCGCAAGUGAGGAUUUCAGAAGGGGACUGCACGUACCUCACGGUGCUCCAUCAGGUGACGGCAUGGGGCAAACAGUGACUUUGACAUAAAGAUGAUGGGGCAGGCAUGCCUCUGUCUUUGGAAAGGGCUGGGACUUUGCUUUUUUGCUUUUAAGCUUGCAAAGCGAUGACAAGGAAUAGCAAAUACGGCAGUUGUUUCAGAUAAGGCAGGAACACUAGCAGCAGCGACUGAAGAGGAGCUCAGCAGUCCCGGGAUGAACAGUCAGCUGUGUCGACACAGAAGCUGUGCGUCCUGGGGACUCCCUGUCCCUUCUCAUUUCUCCUCUGUGGCUGGCCACGGUGUUAUAUUUCUCAGGAAUGUUAUGUCCUGGCUUAUACCAACCCAUUAAACCCAGAAUUUGCGAAUGCCUUACAACUCUCAAAACACACAGCCAAAGGCAGCGCUUUCUUUGUGUGCUUUCGCCCCCGGGGGUGCGGGGCAGCACAGUGCGGGCUGGAGCCGUCCCAGCCCUGCUCGUCCCCCGCUGCUCCCCCUGUGCCGCAGCG